This 255-nucleotide ribosomal RNA is filed under the name uncultured bacterium. RNAcentral's name for it is "partial 16S ribosomal RNA". It matches the Rfam family "Bacterial small subunit ribosomal RNA", at positions 524 to 776 of the family's 1533-position model. The record is from RNAcentral.
UACAUGGGGGUGCAAACGUUGCUCGGAAUCAUUGGGCGUAAAGCGCGCGUAGGCGGUUGCUUAAGUCGGAUGUGAAAGCCCUCGGCUUAACUGAGGAAGUGCAUCCGAAACUGAGCAGCUAGAGUACGAAAGAGGGUCGCGGAAUUCCCGGUGUAGAGGUGAAAUUCGUAGAUAUCGGGAGGAACACCAGUGGCGAAGGCGGCUCACUGGACCGGUACUGACGCUGAAGCGCGAAAAGCGUGGGGAGCAAACGGG